RNAcentral lists this ribosomal RNA (460 nucleotides) under uncultured bacterium. RNAcentral's name for it is "partial 16S ribosomal RNA". It matches the Rfam family "Bacterial small subunit ribosomal RNA", at positions 338 to 795 of the family's 1533-position model. The record is from RNAcentral.
CCUACGGGUGGCAGCAGUGAGGAAUAUUGGUCAAUGGACGAGAGUCUGACCCAGCCAAGUAGCGUGAAGGAUGACUGCCCUAUGGGUUGUAAACUUCUUUUAUAAAGGACUAAAACGAGGCACGUGUGCCUUUUUGCAUGUACUUUAUGAAUUAGGCUCGGCUAACUCGGUGCCAGAAGCCGCGUUAAUACUGAGGAUCCGAUCGUUGUCCGGUGUUCUUGGGUGUAACGGGAGCGUGGAUGGGUUGUUAAGUCAGUUGUGAACGUUCGCGGCUCAACCGUAAAAUUGCAAUUAAUACUGGCAGUCUUGAGUACAGUUGAGGUAGGCGGAAUUCGUGGUGUAGCGGUGAAAUGCUUAGAUAUCACGAAGAACCCCGAAUGCGAAGGCAGCUAACUAAACUGUGACUGACAUUGAUGCUCGAAAGUGUGGGUAGCAAACAGGAUUAGAUACCCGGGUAGUC